AAUUCUUUCUUAAUUGGAAAAGUUAGAAGCUAAUAAUUCUUCCUUCAUGCCAACAAAUCUGUUCUUGGUUUUGAAACCAAGAACGGGGAGCAGAAAACGUUUCGUCCAAAAUUUUAUUUCCAAUCCAAAAGCCAAAACGUGAGAAAGCAGAAUCAUCUUCGUUCAUCAAUUCAUCCAAAUCUUUAGCCAACAUUUUAAUUGAAAUUUCAAGAGAUUCAAAUAGAAAUCUCGUUCAACAUAUGUCUCUGAAGUAGAAGCUUCAUCUCAUUCGAAUAAUUCGGGAAAUGGACAUGUUAAGGUUAUCCCUUCUUUCUUUUGGCAUGGUUCAUACAAUACAAACGAAAUAUGUAAAUACACAAAUUUCAUAAAUAAUUCUAUUCAUAGAAAUAUUAGAGAUAUCUAUAUUUUUGAAUUUUCAUAUAUCAUAAUAUUUUAUCAUAUUUUCACAAGUCUUAGAAACAUAUGAAAGUUGAAAAAAGUUUACUUUAUAUAUUACUUAAAGGCAAAACGGUCUUAUAACAUUCCGAAAUAGUUUAUUAACGUACUUUUCAUGCAUUGUAUUUAUGUACUUUGACCUGUGACCAGAUGGCAUUAUAUAUAUGUAUAUAUAUAUAUAUAUAUAUGAAAAUAGUUAUAACGUUAUAUACACACCACCACCUGAUCAGCUGGUAUAAGUUGAUGAUUUUGCUCACAGUGCCGAUAUGACAUGAUGGGAUGUCCUCAGAGGCCGAUGAUGUUAUGAAACAUGUACCUACGCACGAUAUGAUAUUUUUACGCAUAUGCAUGACACUAAAAGUGAUUUAUGAUUUACAGAGUUAUUCAAACUUACAGAUUGAGUCAGUUACUCUAUAUUUCGUCCACAUCUGUUAUGCACUUAUUUAUGUGCCUUACGUACACAAUACAUUAUUCGUAUUGACAUCCCUUUUUGCCGGGGUCGCCGCAUUUCAUGCCCGCAGGUCCAGAUUGAUGGAUCGAGAGCCCUCCAAGUAGGCUAUCGGCUCAGCAGAAGAUAUUUGUGCGCUCCAUUUGUUUUGGAGUUGCGUAUUUGGUUAGUGUGAUUUAGACGUGUAUUGCUUGGUAUGACGGGACUCUGUCCCAACCUUUAUGACAUUUAUGUAUUCUUAGAUGUUUGGAGAUAUAUGUCGUGUACAUGAAAGAUUGUACGGCCUUGUCGGCAUGUGUUUUGAGUUUAUAAAGGAACAUGUUGGCCUAUUAGGCCCGUAUGUCAUGUGUAUAUGAUGAUGUAAUAAAAAAGAUAUAUUACGUUGGUGCUCAAUUAAGUAAUGUACGCGAUGCUCGUCGCGGCCUAUCAAUUUGGAUCGUAACAUGUUGUCAGAAAAUUUUUUGUUGGC
RNAcentral lists this long non-coding RNA (1352 nucleotides) under Nicotiana benthamiana. RNAcentral's name for it is "long non-coding RNA (NBEN_LNC030700)". Lineage: Eukaryota; Viridiplantae; Streptophyta; Magnoliopsida; Solanales; Solanaceae. The record is from RNAcentral.